This 480-nucleotide ribosomal RNA is filed under the name uncultured bacterium. RNAcentral's name for it is "bacterial SSU rRNA". It matches the Rfam family "Bacterial small subunit ribosomal RNA", at positions 28 to 399 of the family's 1533-position model. The record is from RNAcentral.
GAUGAACGCUGGCGGCGUGCCUAAUACAUGCAAGUCGAGCGGUAAGGCUCCUGCAGUUUAUUUGAUUAUGAUUGCGCUCGCAGAGUAAACCAGUUUACUGGUGUGCGAAGCGAAGGCAAUCACAACAGACCCAAUCAACCCCGGCUAGGGAAGAGACGGCGAGGGAAAAUCGAAUGAAGUGCUGGAGUACACGAGCGGCGGACGGCUGAGUAACGCGUAGGAACGUACCCCAAACUGAGGGAUAAGCACCAGAAAUGGUGUCUAAUACCGCAUGUGCUCUAAGGAGUAAAGCUUCGGCGGUUUGGGAACGGCCUGCGUACGAUUAGAUUGUUGGUGAGGUAAUGGCUCACCAAGUCGACGAUCGUUAGCUGGUCUGAGAGGAUGAUCAGCCAGACUGGGACUGAGAACGGCCCAGACUCCUACGGGAGGCAGCAGUAGGGAAUUUUCCACAAUGGACGAAAGUCUGAUGGAGCAACGCCG